AAGACAUAUGGUUUGAAGAUGUUUUCUCCUGGUCUGUGACAUAUCUUUCCCGUUUCUUAAUGUUGUCUUUUGAACUGUGAAUGUUUUUAAUAUUAAUGAGGUCCGGUUUAUUAUUUUUUUCUUCAUGGAUUAUGCUUUUAGUGUUGUGUCUCUCUCCCUAACCCAGGGUCAUAAAUGAUUUUCACCGAUGUUUUAUUCCAGAAGUUUUAUAGUUUUAGCUCCUACAUAUGGGUCUAUGAGCCAUGUUGAAUUAUUGUAUAAAGUGUGAGGUAAAGAUCGAAGUAUAUGUGGAUUUCCAGUGGUCUCAGUACCAUGUGUUUAAAAGACUAUGCUUUCCCCAACUGAAUUGCCUUGGUACCUGUGUCAAAAAUCAAUUGACCAUAUAUGUAAGUACUCUAAGUUUUGAAAUCAGGAAGAAAUCAUCCUCCAACUUGGUUCUUUUUCAAAUUGUUUUGGCUAUUCUGGGUCCUUUGCUUUUCUGUAUAAAUUUUAGGACCAGCUUGUUAGUUUCUGCCAAAAAAACAAAAAACAAAAAAACCUGUUAGGAUUCUGAUAGGUAUUGUUUUGAAUCUGUAGAUCAAUUCAGGAACCUUAACAAUGUUGAGUCUCCCAUAAGCAUUGCAUGUCUCUCCAUUUAUUUUGAUCUUUAAUUUCUCUUAGCAUGGUUUUGUAGUUUUAGUCUUGCACAUCCUUUGUUAAAGUUAUUCCUAAGUGUUUUAUUUUUCUUCCUCUUGUAAAUAGAAUUGUUCUCUUCAGAGCUGAUGUACUUCAACAUCCCCUGUACUGUUGCGGGGAGAAGAAGGCUCAAGGUUGACUUGCACGGCUCCCAGCUUGAGUGGGUAGGGUGGAUAGUGGGCCACCAUCCGAUGAAAAGGACUCAGGAGAAAGGGGCAGAUUAGAUUUGGUGAGGAAGUGGCUUCUGUUUUGAUGUGUAGGAUAUGAGGAAUAGGGGACUGACGGGUCAUGCUGUCUGACAGUUCCAGAGAGAUUUGUUUGUAAUAGAGAAAAAUUGGAAAUAACCAGAAUGUCUGUCAGUCGAGGAUAGGUGAAAUUACAGUAUAACCGUAUAAAAGAAUGUUAAUACUGUUCACCCAUUAAAACUACAGAGCCAUGCUGAUACGGACUGACCUGGAAAGAUGUCUGGUUGAUUGCUAAGUGAACCAAGCUACAAACAGCAUUCACUUAGCCAUUGGCUUUCCGGCUCCCACCUUCGCCUCAGGCCCACCUUGAAGCUGACUCAGCAUCAUGGUGCUGAAGUUCAUGGGUUGUGUGGGGACAGGGUGGCUCAUUAUAGAUUUGGGGAUGGGGGCUGUCAAGGAGGACCAGGGAAGUUGUACGCACACGAGGCUUCGAAGCCUGAAGGACAGACAGUGAAGAAGGUUUUAGAACCGAUGGGCAGGCCCCUGGGAUGCAAGAAGGAGCCACGCUGAAGUGAGACAGGGAGCUGAGGAGGGGGAAGGACCCCUGACGGGGUGGGGGGGCCCCGGUCGGCGGGAAUCAGAGGUGAGAGCGAGGCGGAGCGUGGACCUCCCACUUGGGUCACCUACUAAAGGCCCCGACCGAGGGGGCCUGGCAGGCCUUGGGGUGGAGCUCAGCAAGUGCCGACCGCGGUGGAGAGGCCUGCAGCCUGCCGCUCCCUCCCUGCAAACAGCCCGCUCCUUCCCUUGCUGGUCCUCCAGUGGGGGAUGGGGGGACAGGGAAAUCAGAGCAGUCCCUGGGGCUCCCCUGGGAGGCAGCAGGUGGUCCCAGCCGGGAGCCCUGAGCCCAGGACACCAAGUGGAAGCCACACCCUGAUUGAGGCUGGUGCGACCUGGGAUGAAGGGGCACUUUGUCAUUUUCCCAGGGAAGCUGAAGAUCAAAGUGUUGCCCUGUGAGUGAAAGAAAGGCAAUAAUAGUUGUUUCUGAAAGGCAGGCCUCUCAGAAGUGUGAAGACCUGGAGAGACAGGGAGUCAGCUCGCCCACCGCCAGUCUCCUGCUGAGCACGUGGAUGUGGACUUGAUGUUGGACUUGGUCUGUUUAAACGUCUGUGUGGGAAGCCCGUCUCCUCCCUGCCUGUCCCCCCAGAAACAAUGGUGGGUGUUUAUGAUUCCAGAAAGCGGUGGGGAGGUUGUAAACCUGGACUUGGCUCAUCUUUUUAAAAUCUCUGGAUGUCCCAUUAGCCUGGGAUAGUCUAUUUUGGAUUUCAUGGCUCAGUAAAAUAUUCUCCAAAAUUUGUGGCACUGUUACAGAAAUGUCCAUUUGUAUUUUGUCAAAUAUAUUUAUUAAGAGAAAAAUACCUUAAAGAAUGUUGCUAACACAAAAAAAGGAAGUAAGAGCAUAAACUGAGAAAAACGGACAGUCUUUUAAACUGAAUAUAGUUGGCUUUUUAAAAAUCCACUAUGUUGACCUUUCUUUUAAAAAAAAAUUGUCACAGCAGACUGGUGAAAACUCUGUGACUCUGUGUGGCUCAGCCCUGGUGCACACAUCAGAAUUCAAAGGCCACUGAAUUAGUGUUUGUUUGAACACCAGAUGAUAUGAUUAGAUUGUGUGGUUUGUAGGAAAUUAAAUCUUUACCUAAACCGGAUGCUAAGCUUCUGCUCGGAAUCAAUAUACUAAUAGAAGUCCUUGGAAACUAAUAAACAUACCAUUACUAUUAAUUUAUGGAUAGGUUGUUGACAGAUAACCUCAGAGAAGGAAUCCAGGCUUGAAACAGCUUUUGUAAUGCCAGGUGAAGUGUGUGAGUUUAAUCAGAGUCCUGAGAAGGAGUAUCUGUGUAGUGUAUUAAAAAAAACCCGACUGCAUCGGAGUUGGGUCUGAGAGAAGCCAAGAGGAGGCAGGAAAACUAGAAACUAAUUGAAGCUGAUACAAGAAAUUAAGAUCCAUGCAAAGAAAACCAGAUAUUCUAAGAUGAAAUGUGUUGGUGGGAAGCAGGGACAACUUACCAACUUAGAAUCUGGUCACCUGGCAUCUUCUCCUGAGGACAAGAGGCCAGAAGGAACUGGCCCAACUAACUAAGGAAUCUUCCACACACAGGAUGGCAGGGCUGGAAUACUGCCGUUGGGGACCCUCUCAGGACGGGAGGCCACACUCUGGACUCAAGCCAGGCAGUCCCUGAAGUUAUGCCCUUUGCAGGGUAGAAGGUUUACAGAUGAAGAAGCGAGCCCAGAAUUGUCCAGUGUCUUACCCAGGGCCUCACCUUUCCUUGUUGCUGCUCUGUCCCGAAGUGGAUUGAAGAUGCCAGUCCAGAGUUGGAUGCCCUCUGCCGGCAGCUGGACCGCCCUCGGCCUGAGAGAGAAAGGAGGAUGAAGACCAAGUGAUGUGUAAAACCAACCAACCAGCGAACCCUGGCACAGAUACUCAAGAAAUGACACUAUGGGUGAGGAGAGCCCAGCCGGACUGAGGGUUUCCCUGCAUCACUGUGUGGACUGGCCUGUGCAGUGGUGCCCCGAGUCACUCACACAGUGUUUGUGCCCGUAACUGUCCAUCAAAAUAAAGUCACAUUUUGUUCGCUAUGCAUUCAAUUAAAGAACAAAAAUUCUUAGUUGACGUCUUCAUAACGCUUGCUGGAUUAAGGUAAUAACGUUCUACUAACCGCACAAUAUCAAGUUGUAGCUUGAAAACCCAACCUGGAUUCUGUCCUUUUCCUGCUUUAAAAGCCUUCAGUGGCUCGCCACGGCCGCCGCAUUAAAUACCCAUCGUUCAGCCCAGCUUUCACGGCUGUCUGUGACGCGUGCCGUGAACUUGCUUUCAGCAGGGUUUUCCCGUCUGUGCUUUCUGGGGCCCCAGAGUCUCUGGAAAUGACUCAGGCCGCAGUGAGUUCGGAAGUAGCAAAGUUGGGUGUUGGUGUGAAAGUGAGUCGGGCUUUGCUGGCUGAGAGAUCACCAGUGGGGUACAGCUGACCCAGCUUCAUGGGUUGCAGGUUUCAGUAGCUUAAGUCGAUACUCUGAACUCCACAGGCCCUGCCGUGCAGUGGGAAGACCUUCCACGGUGCCGUGAAGGAUGUCACCCACCAGGCUAUGGGCAGAAUUACAAAGCGUGGUUUGCCUUUAUGUCCCCCACACCCUCCCUGUCCAUCCGCUGUUGCUUUGUACCCCACCACCCCAUAUCUUAGAGACUUACCACCUGGUAUAACUUCCCUUGAGAACCCCAGCAUCAUAUGUGUAUUUAAAUACAGAUACCGAAUCUCAGUUACGAGUCACUAUUAAGUGGCCUGGAUUUUUCAUAGACCUUGCUUUUCAUCCAAUUUUAAGUCACACAGAAUUUUUGAGGAAACAGUUUUAAUGGGGAGUUGGACUGUACCAUCUGUUACCCAGGUCACUUGUUCUGAAACUUUAAUUUGCAUAGAAAUCACCUGGGGAUCUUGUUGAAAUGCAGGUUUGAUUCUGUAGGUCUGCAGUUUGCUCUAGGAUUCUCUAAUCCUUAUAAGCUCCCGGGUGACGUUGACUCUGCUAGACUGGGGACCACACUGUGAGUUACAAGGAUCAAGUCCAAGUUCCCUUGAGCAGUCAGGGUUCCUAUGCCCCCUGAUACCCACACCCGAGGGCCAAGCAGUUUCCUGGGCCAGAGGCAGCUGCCCAGCACGAAGCGCACAGUCGUUGCCUUGGAGAGCUUAUGGGCAUAAACGAGAUGGCGGGGUGUGUCCGCCACGUCUCUGCAGACUUCAGUCCUUUCCCAGGUCCAGACCCCUGGGAGGCGCUCAUCUGGCUGCUGGAGAUGGUGUUUCUCCUCUCCAGAAGGCAAUUCAGCAAGUCCUCCAGGGAAAAGGGUAAAUGCUACCUUGGGAGCUUCCUGAGCAGCUUCCAGCGAGUGGAGGGGUUGCCUGCGGGUAUUUCCUCCUUAACACAUCACUUUUCUUCCAGCCACAUAUGCAGACAGACCGGGCCGUUCAGCACGAGUUCUCCCGUGGAUGACACCCACUCUCGUUUACUUCCGGAUAAGAAAAUCGGUAGUUGUGCCCAUUCACAGCCUGACGAGACCUCCUGUCUAACUUUUCUGUCCUCACUGCGCAGUCGUGCUUGGUACCGGCUCAUAGCACUGUUGAUGAAGAUGUGAGUUUUCUCCUUCUACCACUGAACAGUGAGAGAUUAUCAGCUUUGUUCUGCUCCUGGAGUCACAUCGACGCUGCUUCCACACCCAAGUGAGUGAGUGAGCCUGCAGAACCUGCAGGCGCUGGCCGCAGGCCUGGACCGACAGCGCUGCUCGCCUGUGAGGGGAGAAGCCAAGGAAUGGGGCCUAAGGGUGUGCCCAGACAUGCAGUUCAUCCAUCGAUCAGGCGUAUGGUGGGUGCAUGGGAGGCUGAAAAGCAGGGGCGUGGCGUGUUCAAGGUUAGCAACCAAGUGACCAACUAGGCUUCAUAACCAGAUGCAUCAAAAAUAGGAAGCAUGAGCCAGCACUUGGGGUGAGCAGUGAGAAGUCAGGUGUGAGUGAUGGAGAGGAUGGCCGUUAAGGCUAGUCUGGGAGGCCAGGCGUGCUUUGCUGUUCCUGACUAGCUGGGAGAGUCCUGAAGAGGCCAGCGGUGUGUGCUGAGGAAGAGCUCCCCUUGUAACCCACUUAAGAAGUAUGUUAGUUGUGUGUGUGCUGAGUAAUGGAUCACCCCGAACUAAGUGUCUGUUAACAACCAUGAUGGUCUCAGGAGCAGCUGAGGACAUCUCAGAGGCUCUUCACUCCCACGUGUGGCGUCUGAGCUGGAGCAGCUGGAGCUUGCCAUCCUCAGGCAUUUCUGUCUGGGGGAUCUCCACUCAGGGUCUUCCCAGCGUGGCAUCUUCACAGCAGUGACACUUCCCAGGAGGAAGCUAUGCCCCUUAUGUGAGCUCACCUCAGGGGAGGGGCAGCCCUCUGGUCUGCUGCAGUCUGAUUGUCAGAAGUCAGUGCCCACAGUUGGCCCUUUUUCACUGUAGUCUCCACCUAUUUCUGGGAAAUAAAUCCAAGAAUUUGUUGGCAUGUUUUAUAACCACAUAGGAGCCUAUGAUAUAGUCCGGGGACCUCAUAAUUACACCCGCCUAAUUAUAUAAGGGACUUCCAGUGGAAAGUUUCCCGGUGCUUACCGUGCUUGGCAAGUCACGUCAGACACGUGGAGAUGUGAUGUGCAGGCGAGCGGUCCGAUUUUCUGAGACUAAGUCCCGUAUUUGUGUCAUUACCAGGAAACCCCCAGGCCCGGAAACAUCUUUUCCCCCUGGGGCUCAGGAUGGUAACAUCAGAGUAGGUGAUAAAGUGGUUAAUCCCACAGGGAUGCAAAACAGUAUUAGCAAGUCAGGAAACAGCAAGGAGGCUGAGCAGUAGACAAGAAGGAGGCCCUCACAUCGCUGUCCUUCUGAUUCGAUACAGCAACAGACAAUUCCAAAUUCCUCUGAGGGACAGCGGUAUUUGGGACCAACUAGACUAGCCAGCUGCCGCCGUGCCUGGUAAAGCCAGUUGUGGCUCUAGUCCUGGCACACCCAGACUGCUCACGCUGCUGACCCCAGUAUGAAGGCACCUGGGGUUCCAUGUGCGGAAGCAGGACUAGGGAUAAUUGCUUUGUUAGAGGGGAACUGAGAGUCCUAGUGAAUUCAAGUGUACUUCCAAGCAGGGUCUGAAAGCCUCCUGUAAGGACACUGACUGCACCGUGGGGGGUUCGCCUGAUGCCAGCUGAUUGGGAAAAGCCAUUCUGGGCCUAGCUUGAGUGAGCCCGGGGAGGGAUAAGCAGGGACCCUGUACCUGGUACACUGGGGUUCCUGGGAAGACUUGUAGUCUCCUUACACUUGACUGAGUUUGUUCCCUGCACAGACUUUUGCUAAAGGCCACCGUGUCCCAGCGCGUGAGGCAGUUGCCAAAAUGUAGUAGUGCUAACAGCUGGAGUUCCUGUCUGCUGCAGCUGAGCAACUACAGAGGAGCCUGAGUCCCACCAGAAGCAAUUCCUUGGACUGUUCGGCGCUGCCUGGAAAUGGGUCCCGGCACCCCCCCCCCCCCGCAGAGUCGACUGGCUGGCAAAGGCUUGCUGACACUGGGGGACUUUCCACUUCAGGGCCUGGCACUGUGACCGACUUCCCAGCAUCUCAGUCUGGGCAGAUUCCCAUGAGAUCAGACCCCAUACCCACAUCUCUGAUUUUGUGAAGGUGGAGUGUAGUUUGGCAAAAGGUAUUAUGCAAAAAUCAAUAAGUAAAGAAACUUACAAGGGAGAAAAGAGAACAUGAGCAUAAAAUUUGGAAAACGGAACUCAAUAAAAGUAGUUUUUUUACUUCUGUUGAAACAGGAUUUCUCAGAGCCUUUCCUGUGCCACCAUGCCAUGUGAUCGUCCAGAAGGACAGAAUUCGCCAUCUGCUGUGGUAGCUCAUGUUCUGGAUCCUCAGCCGGGACAGCGGAUUCUGGAUUUGUGUGCGGCCCCUGGAGGCGAAACCUUACACGUUGCGGCACUGAUGCAGGAUCAGGACUGCCCUACACUUAGCCUGCAUCAGCAGCCAGUCAUCAGUGGUGGCUCUCCUUAUCCAGUGGAAUUGUAAUCUGGAUGCUUGUGACAAGGAAAGCAAGACAGCUCUCAUCAAGGCUGUACAAUGCCAGAAUGAUGGAUGUGUCAUUAUCUUGCUGGAACAUGGUGCUGACCCAAAUCUUGAGGACGACAGUCAAAACACUGCUCUCCAUUACACCGUCUUGGCUGAGAAUACGUCAAUUGCAACACAGCUGCUCCGCUGUAAUGCAAAUAUCGAGGCGAUAAAUGAGAUAUAUAGC
This is a non-coding RNA of Vicugna pacos (alpaca), 7680 nucleotides long. The record is from RefSeq and is a predicted model, not a curated record. Lineage: Eukaryota; Metazoa; Chordata; Mammalia; Artiodactyla; Camelidae.